This 1164-nucleotide long non-coding RNA is filed under the name Marmota monax (woodchuck). Lineage: Eukaryota; Metazoa; Chordata; Mammalia; Rodentia; Sciuridae. The record is from RNAcentral.
UUUGGGGUACCAGGACACCAGCUGUGGCCCCCUUCUCGCUCCCGGGAGAAUAUGUGACCCCUUUUUAAAUAACCCUGCUUUACCUGCUUGCCUCUGUGCUUCUCCGAUGGAGUACUCCAACCUGUGGGGAGCAGGACUCGCCACCCGUUACCUCCCAAGUUCCUGCCAGGGCAGCCACUACCUAACCUAAAGGUUCCCAGGAGCUCCGGCCACCUGGGAAAGGUGCUUCAUGGUCUCACCAUCGAAUCCUGAUGGAAUCCUGAAUCCCAGAGGCUCGGCUAAGUCACCUGAGACGAGUCCCAAGCGUGGUGCAGACACUGGGAGGGGAUCCUUGAUCCAGCAAGCCGACACUGAGAUGCAGCAGGGAAGGGACUUCUGUGGAUCGGGCAGAACAUCCUGAGCAGGGCAGUGUGCAAACGGGAGGCUCAGGACGGGGCGCUCAGCCAGAGUCCAGCAGGAGAACUGGCCAUCCCAGCCUCGUGAACUGGCAGCUUCACAACAGCAAGUUCAGGGUACAGUGGCCUCGUGAUGUCCCCCUGCACCUCCCUGAGCACUGAAUGACAUCAGCCGGCAGGGGACAGGGGCCUCCUUGCCUUUCCUGGCUCUCCAGGGACACACACUUUGGACCUUCUGUGUGCAGGUGGUCCCUUGUUGCCAAAAGCUCGGUCCCUAUCCCUGAUGCCAACCCCAUAAGGAGGAAGAGUUUUGAGAAAAAGGAAAGAGGGUUGAUUUGUUUUGCUACAAAGGAGAAACACAGGGGACACCUGUCCCAGAGGCUGGGAUUCUGCCUAUCAUCAGGGGGUAACAGUGGUCCCUUCACCUUCUGGAUGUAGCCCUCACUGAUCUAAGGUUUAUUUAAAAAAGAAAGUUGUUUUUUUUUUGUCUCUCCCCUCUCCCGCUCCCUAACAAGAUUAGGGAGACGGUGUUAUCUUUGCUUCCCAGUUAACUGCCCUUGAACACACCCACUACAGGAAGGAGAAGUCUGCUGAAGAUCUGGGAAGUGGAUGUCUCCCAAAUUAACCAGUGAAUCCUAACACUAUCAGGGCACCCUGGGCCCCCAUACAGGAAAGUAACUCUUAAAAAAUUCCUUUACACCCCCACAACAGGAGCUUUACAGCCUUUGGGACAGGAGUGCCCUGUGUUAUUGCUUUGCUAAUAAAACUU